Molecule: ribosomal RNA, 954 nt
Filed under: Bos taurus (domestic cattle)
Lineage: Eukaryota; Metazoa; Chordata; Mammalia; Artiodactyla; Bovidae
Description: bacterial LSU rRNA
Rfam family: Bacterial large subunit ribosomal RNA
Source: RNAcentral
AGCGGCCGACAGCCUCAGAAACCAGGCCCCUGCAACUGUUUAUUAAAAACAUAGCACUCUGCAAACACGAAAGUGGACGUAUAGGGUGUGAUGCCUGCCCGGUGCUGGAAGGUUAAUUGAUGGGGUUAGCGUAAGCGAAGCUCUUGAUCGAAGCCCCAGUAAACGGCGGCCGUAACAAUAACGGUCCUAAGGUAGCGAAAUUCCUUGUCGGGUAAGUUCCGACCUGCACGAAUGGCGUAACGAUGGCCACACUGUCUCCUCCCGAGACUCAGCGAAGUUGAAAUGUUUGUGAUGAUGCAAUCUACCCGCGGCUAGACGGAAAGACCCCAUGAACCUUUACUGUAGCUUUGCAUUGGACUUUGAACCAAUCUGUGUAGGAUAGGUGGGAGGCUUUGAAGCGGGGACGCCAGUUCUCGUGGAGCCAUCCUUGAAAUACCACCCUGGUUUGUUUGAGGUUCUAACCUUGGUCCGUUAUCCGGAUCGGGGACAGUGCAUGGUAGGCAGUUUGACUGGGGCGGUCUCCUCCUAAAGAGUAACGGAGGAGUACGAAGGUGCGCUCAGCGUGGUCGGAAAUCACGCGUAGAGUAUAAAGGCAAAAGCGCGCUUAACUGCGAGACCCACAAGUCGAGCAGGUACGAAAGUAGGUCUUAGUGAUCCGGUGGUUCUGUAUGGAAGGGCCAUCGCUCAACGGAUAAAAGGUACUCUGGGGAUAACAGGCUGAUUCCUCCCAAGAGUUCAUAUCGACGGGGGAGUUUGGCACCUCGAUGUCGGCUCAUCACAUCCUGGGGCUGUAGCCGGUCCCAAGGGUAUGGCUGUUCGCCAUUUAAAGUGGUACGUGAGCUGGGUUUAAAACGUCGUGAGACAGUUUGGUCCCUAUCUGCCGUGGGCGUUGGAAAUUUGAAGGGGGCUGCUCCUAGUACGAGAGGACCGGAGUGGACGAACCUCUGGUGUACC